This 398-nucleotide ribosomal RNA is filed under the name uncultured bacterium. RNAcentral describes it as "bacterial SSU rRNA". It matches the Rfam family "Bacterial small subunit ribosomal RNA", at positions 27 to 430 of the family's 1533-position model. The record is from RNAcentral.
GGACGAACGCUGGCGGCGUGCUUAACACAUGCAAGUCGAGCGGUAAGGCCCUUUCGGGGGUACACGAGCGGCGAACGGGUGAGUAACACGUGGGUGACCUGCCCUCAGCUCUGGGAUAAGCCUGGGAAACCGGGUCUAAUACCGGAUAUGACUCCAUGACGCAUGUUGUGGGGUGGAAAGCCUUGUGCGGCUGAGGAUGGGCCCGCGGCCUAUCAGCUUGUUGGUGGGGUGANGGCCUACCAAGGCGACGACGGGUAGCCGGCCUGAGAGGGCGACCGGCCACACUGGGACUGAGACACGGCCCAGACUCCUACGGGAGGCAGCAGUGGGGAAUCUUGCGCAAUGGGCGAAAGCCUGACGCAGCGACGCCGCGUGAGGGAUGACGGCCUGGUGUAACU